GACGUAGGGCGCGAGCGUUGUCCGGAUUUAUUGGGCGUAAAGAGCUCGUAGGCGGCUUGUCGCGUCGAAUGUGAAAACCCACGGCUCAACUGUGGGCUUGCAUUCGAUACGGGCAGGCUAGAAGUUCGGUAGGGGAGACUGGAAUUCCUGGUGUAGCGGUGAAAUGCGCAGAUAUCAGGAGGAACACCGGUGGCGAAGGCGGGGUCUCUGGGC
This 213-nucleotide ribosomal RNA is filed under the name uncultured bacterium. RNAcentral's name for it is "partial 16S ribosomal RNA". It matches the Rfam family "Bacterial small subunit ribosomal RNA", at positions 524 to 734 of the family's 1533-position model. The record is from RNAcentral.